This 253-nucleotide ribosomal RNA is filed under the name uncultured bacterium. RNAcentral's name for it is "partial 16S ribosomal RNA". It matches the Rfam family "Bacterial small subunit ribosomal RNA", at positions 524 to 776 of the family's 1533-position model. The record is from RNAcentral.
UACAGAGGGGGCAAGCGUUAUUCGGAAUUAUUGGGCGUAAAGGGCGCGUAGGCGGCUUGGCAAGUGGAUGGUGAAAUCCCUCGGCUUAACCGAGGAACUGCCGUCCAAACUGCUUCGCUUGAGACCGGGAGAGGUGAGUGGAAUUCCCAGUGUAGCGGUGAAAUGCGUAGAUAUUGGGAGGAACACCAGUGGCGAAGGCGGCUCACUGGACCGGUACUGACACUGAGGCGCGAAAGCGUGGGGAGCGAACAGG